UACAGGCUCUUUUCAGCCACUUGCCCCUCCAGCCACAUGGAAUCCUCCUGGUUCCCCAAACAGGACAAACUGUUUUCUCAGGAACUUAGAUCCUUCUGCUGUGAAUUUUUUUAGUGUGCCUAAGUGAAAUGCUGAGAACCUAGGUUGAGAGCCCCAAAUAGGGCAGUGGGAAGAAGGGAAUAGAAAGGCUGACCUGCUCCCAGGAGACUCAGAGUCGCCAAAGAGAAUGUAAUUAGGGAUCUUAACAGUGGCCUAGGCUUUAUGGGAGACAAAUUGGUUGAGGUGGCCCUCAGGGAGUGAGGAGCUCCCAGGGGACAAAAACUGCAGGAGCCAUGAGUGGAGAAGCAACUGGAGGCGGCCCCCUCUGACUCACAAACAGAGCAACAGCCUAGAGUGUUCCUAGAAGAGGCGAUUUCUUCGGCGCACGUGUACUGGGGACUACGUCUGUGUGUGCGUGUGUGUUUGUGUGAGUGAACAUCUUCUGCCCUCGUCCUGUAGGGCUGGGCGAACCAGGAAGCGCCUCGCAGAGGAAGAGAUUUAGUAGUCUCGGCCACGUUUGUCUUCAGAACCGACCUUUCCUGCUCUUUGUGCAACAAGACACACCUCUCCGAGGAAGGAGGCGGACAUCAUUACUACUGCCCUAUUAAAAACACACACACACACACACACACUCACACACACAACAACCGUGUAAUUACUCUCCGCAGGAAAGGCGCACAACAGGAUGGGCCCGAGCUGAACUCGGGAUGAGCCAUCCCUGUAAAGAUUAGGAAAAGGAACCUCCGCGCCAUGCACCCGCCUCCGGCCAGGGCCUCUCCCAGAUGGUCAGGCUGGGUUGCCAGACCACCUCCUAGGGUGAGAGGGUGGUCGCGGGCGUCUCCCAGCCACGCGGGUUCCCUGUUCCUUCUCCUACCCGCCUUCCAGCUCUCGCUGGGUCUGUCUCCCACGCCUCAGGUGUUUGCUGGGGCUGGGCCACAAGCCCUUCCCUUUUUGGCCUGCACCUGGGGUAACCUCCAGCCCCGAGCGC
This is a long non-coding RNA of Bos taurus (domestic cattle), 1027 nucleotides long. NCBI's taxonomy places the organism in Eukaryota, Metazoa, Chordata, Mammalia, Artiodactyla, Bovidae. The record is from Ensembl.